RNAcentral lists this ribosomal RNA (253 nucleotides) under uncultured bacterium. RNAcentral's name for it is "partial 16S ribosomal RNA". It matches the Rfam family "Bacterial small subunit ribosomal RNA", at positions 524 to 776 of the family's 1533-position model. The record is from RNAcentral.
UACAGAGGGGGCAAGCGUCAUUCGGAAUUAUUGGGCGUAAAGGGCGCGCAGGCGGCCUUGCAAGUGACGGGUGAAAUCCCCCGGCUUAACCGGGGAACCGCCUGUCAGACUGCGAGGCUUGAGACCGGGAGAGGUGAGUGGAAUUCCCAGUGUAGCGGUGAAAUGCGUAGAUAUUGGGAGGAACACCAGUGGCGAAGGCGGCUCACUGGACCGGUACUGACGCUGAGGCGCGAAAGCGUGGGGAGCAAACAGG